RNAcentral lists this ribosomal RNA (253 nucleotides) under uncultured bacterium. RNAcentral describes it as "partial 16S ribosomal RNA". It matches the Rfam family "Bacterial small subunit ribosomal RNA", at positions 524 to 776 of the family's 1533-position model. The record is from RNAcentral.
UACGGGGGGGGCAAGCGUUGUUCGGGAUUACUGGGCGUAAAGGGCUCGUAGGCGGCCAACUAAGUCAGACGUGAAAUCCCUCGGCUUAACCGGGGAACUGCGUCUGAUACUGGAUGGCUAGAGGUUGGGAGAGGGAUGCGGAAUUCCAGGUGUAGCGGUGAAAUGCGUAGAUAUCUGGAGGAACACCGGUGGCGAAGGCGGCAUCCUGGACCAAUUCUGACGCUGAUGAGCGAAAGCCAGGGGAGCAAACGGG